This 495-nucleotide long non-coding RNA is filed under the name Salmo salar (Atlantic salmon). Its description in RNAcentral is "lncRNA (ENSSSAG00000091965.1)". The record is from RNAcentral. Lineage: Eukaryota; Metazoa; Chordata; Actinopteri; Salmoniformes; Salmonidae.
CUCAUCUUGAUCAGAAGUCGGACAGUGUUCAAGAAGCGAAAUCAAAGACAGAGCAAAUGAAUAAGAGAUGAAAGUAAAGUGUCAAGGAGGGCAGAGGAAGGAAGGAAGAAAGGAUAAAAUAACAGAUGGUAAGAUGGAGCAAAAUCCAGGGUGAUGUUAAAAUGGACAGGCAAAGGGAUGAGAAGUGGUUGAUGAAAGAGGAUGAACAAGAAAGAAGGAGAGAAAAGAAAGAGAAGGGAGAGAUUUGGCACGGGCAGGACAAACAGGGACAUGACAGUGUAAUCCUCGCCAGACUGUCUGAACCCCCGAGGAGCCCAGGCCGCCGAUGACACAUCCUAAAUCUAAUGUGCCGGUUUGGGUGUUCAGUCGUAGCAAUGCACUGUGUUUGUUCACAGCUCAGAAAGGGGAUUAGACAGAUGAACUGCAGUCACCAGAUGCCCAAGCCUCAAAACUAGAAACAUGUGGAGACAUCAACACAAUAAAUGUUUAAAAAAA